Molecule: unclassified non-coding RNA, 215 nt
Filed under: Hevea brasiliensis (rubber tree)
Lineage: Eukaryota; Viridiplantae; Streptophyta; Magnoliopsida; Malpighiales; Euphorbiaceae
Source: RNAcentral
AGCUGCAUGGUUCACAUGCACAAGAAUCAUGGAUUCUUCAUCCCUGAUGUCGAGUAUCUUAAGGAUCCCAAAGGGUUCCUUACUUACCUUGGUCUCAAGGUUAAAAGGGAUUUCAUGUGCUUGUAUUGCAACUACAGAUGUCUACCUUUCAGCAGUUUAGAAGCAGUUCGGAAGCAUAUGGAAGCAAAGAAUCAUUGCAGAGUGCAUUAUGGUGA